ACAUCCCCGGAGGGAGCCCAGCGAGGACGGCAGCAGCUCGGAGGAGAACGUCCUCUACCAGGCUGUCAUGGACGGCAGGGUGGCCAUCGAGGUGACACGGGGACAGGGGGGGACAUGGGGACAGGGGGGGACAUGGGGACAUGUUGGGGGGCACAGGGACACACAGGGAUAAAGGGACACGCGAGCAAAACCAGCUCCCAAAGGGACACGGGGACGUGUCCACCUUGGGAAGGGGACAUGGGGGGGGGGCAUUUGCUCAAAUGUGGGGCCACCACGUGUCACCACGUGCCACCACAUGUCACCACGUGCCACCACAUGUCACCACAUGUCACCACGUGUCACCACGUGUCACCACGUGUCACUGUGCCCGCAGGUGGCGGUGGACGAGUGGCUGCAGGGCUACAAGCGGGACCGGGAGCCGGCCUUCCUGGAGCUCGUCAACUUCAUCGUCCGCUCCUGCGGCUGCCGAGGCACGGUGACGCUGGCCAUGCUGCGGGAGCAGCAGAACACCGAGAUCAUCCAGCGGCUGACCGAGACCUUCAGCGAGCAUUUUGUCCCUUGUGUCCUGGAUGCUUUAUAUUUUUCGUAUUGCUGCUGUUUUGUUAUUUCUGUGAGGCGGCCAUCUUGUCACCUGUGUGACGCCGCCAUCUUGUCACCUCACUUCCUUGCUAUUUUGUCCCUCUGCAUCCCUGCCACUUUGUCACCUGUGUGACCCAACGCUUUGUCCCUGUGUCCCCAACACGUUAUUUUUCUGCGUUGCCUCCAGUUUGUCAUCUCUGUGAGGCAGCCAUCUUGUCAC
Molecule: long non-coding RNA, 799 nt
Filed under: Anas zonorhyncha (Eastern spot-billed duck)
Lineage: Eukaryota; Metazoa; Chordata; Aves; Anseriformes; Anatidae
Description: lncRNA (ENSAZOG00000009733.1)
Source: RNAcentral